ACAGGAUCAUGGCUCAGAAUCAACGCUGGCGGCGUUCUAACACAUGCAAGUCGAACGCGAAAGGGGCUUCGGCCCCGAGUAGAGUGGCAACGGGUGAGUAACACGUGGGUGACCUACCUUCGAGUGGGGGAUAACGUCCCGAAAGUGCUAAUACCGCAUCACAUCCUGCCUUUGAAGAGGUGGAGAUCAAAGCCGGGGAUCGCAAGACCUGGCGCUUGAAGAGGGGCCCGCGUCCGAUUAGCUAGUUGGUGAGGUAAUGGCUCACCAAGGCGACGAUCGGGAGGCCGGCCUGAGAGGGCGGACGGCCACACGGGACUGAGACACGGCCCUAUCUCCUACGGGAGGCAGCAGUGGGGAAUUGUUCGCAAUGGGCGCAUCCUGACGACGCAACGCCGCGUGGAGGAUGAAGGUCUUCGGAUUGUAAACUCCUGUUGCCCGGGACAAAUGGCUCUAUCCAACACGUUCAAGUGUGACGGUACCGGGUGAGGAAGCCCCGGCUAAUCUGUGCCAGCAGCCGCGGUAACUAGAUAGGGCAAGCGUUGUUCGGAUCACUGGGCGUAAAGGGCGCGUAGGCGGCCUGCUACACGAACGUGAAAUCCCCGGGCUCAACCCGGGAACUGCUAUCGAGACUGGCAGGCUCGAAUCGGGAGAGGGAUGUGGAAUUCCCCGUAGCGGUGAAAUGCGUAGAUAUCUGGAGGAACAUCGGUGGCGAAGGCGGCAUCCUGGACAUAUUGACGCUGAGGCGCAAAGCCAGGGGAGCAAACGGGAUUAGAUACCCCGGUAGUCCUGGCUAAACGAUCAGCUUGUAUGUGGCGGGUAUCGAUCCCUACGUGCCGAAGCUAACGCAUUAAGCAUUCCGCCUACGAGUACGGUCGCAAGGCUGAAACUUAGGAAUUGACGGGGGCCCGUACAGCGGUGGAGCAUGUGCAUCAAUUCGACGCAACGCGAAGAACCUUACCCAGGCUUUAACUGCAGAUGACAUCCUACGAAAGUAGGCUUCCGCAAGGACAUCUGUAGAGGUGCUGCAUGGCUGCCAGCUCGUGUCGUGAGAUGUUGGGUUAAGUCCCGCAACGAGCGCAACCCUUGUCUACCCGCCAUCGGGUUACCGGGCACUCUGAAAACUGCCGGUGACAAACCGGAGGAAGGUGGGGAUGACGUCAAGUCAGCAUGGCCUUUAUGUCUGGGGCCACACACGUGCUACAAUGGCCGGUACUAACCGUCGCGAGCCCGCAAGGGGGAGCUAAUCUAAAAGCCGGUCUCAGUUCGGAUUGUAGGCUGCAACUCGCCUGCAUGAAGUCCAUCGCUAGUAAUCGCGGAUCAGCACGCCGCGGUGAAUACGUUCUGGUUCAUACACACCGCCCGUCACAUCACGAAAGCCGGCUGUACUAGAAGUCGCAGCCAACCCGUAGGCAGGCGCCUAAGGUAUACGGUGA
RNAcentral lists this ribosomal RNA (1433 nucleotides) under uncultured bacterium. Its description in RNAcentral is "bacterial SSU rRNA". It matches the Rfam family "Bacterial small subunit ribosomal RNA". The record is from RNAcentral.